This 36-nucleotide ribosomal RNA is filed under the name Muhlenbergia japonica. RNAcentral describes it as "partial 26S ribosomal RNA". The record is from RNAcentral. Lineage: Eukaryota; Viridiplantae; Streptophyta; Magnoliopsida; Poales; Poaceae.
GACCCCAGGUCAGUCGGGAUUACCCGCUGAAUUUAA